RNAcentral lists this long non-coding RNA (441 nucleotides) under Setaria italica (foxtail millet). RNAcentral describes it as "long non-coding RNA (SITA_LNC001835)". The record is from RNAcentral. Lineage: Eukaryota; Viridiplantae; Streptophyta; Magnoliopsida; Poales; Poaceae.
CGCCUGCCAGCUGCUCCAGUGCCAGAAGCGGGUGCACGCGAUUCCGUUGUCCCCAAAUUCAGUCCUCAGGAUGUACCGUAUGGCACCUCACUCGCAGUAUGCCCCUCUGCACCUAGUGCCCAAAAUGCUUAAUGAACCAUCCCCUGCCGCCCUGGACUCUAGAGGUGCAUUCAUUGUACAUGUUCUGUCUUCGAUCUAUGUCUGGGUUGGAAUGAAGUGUGAUCCGGUAAUGGAGAAAGAUGCAAGAGCUGCAGCCUUUCAGGUUGUGAGGUAUGAGAAGGUGCAGGGGCACAUCAAGGUUGUGAGAGAAGGUCUGGAGCAGCAGGAAUUUUGGGAUGCCUUUUCAAGUACGCCGCUUAAUUCAGAUAGUAACUCAAAGGUUAGCAAGGACCAGAUUGAUUCAGCAUCCAAGAGUAACCCAGGAAGCCGGAAGGUGGAGUC